Loxodonta africana (African savanna elephant) is the source of this 63-nucleotide transfer RNA. It matches the Rfam family "tRNA". Rfam says of the family: Transfer RNA (tRNA) molecules are approximately 80 nucleotides in length. Their secondary structure includes four short double-helical elements and three loops (D, anti-codon, and T loops). NCBI's taxonomy places the organism in Eukaryota, Metazoa, Chordata, Mammalia, Proboscidea, Elephantidae. The record is from Rfam.
GCUGCAGUGGCUAAGCAUUUGGCUGCUAACCAAAAGGUGGGCAGUUCAAAUCCACCUGCUGCC